UUUGAUCCCAAUGGGAUGAUCUGAUCUUGCAUUGAGUUGUGGUGGUGUUAGGUACACAAGGAGUGUGAUACAUGUAACUCGCCAACAGCAAAGAAUGUAGAGACAAAGGUCUUAUGCCAUUGCAUAUCAUCACUAGGACAUGUUAGUCCAUAAUCUACAGGAAGUGUAGUGUGAUUGAUUAUGCAAUGAGAGAUGGCCAUUGCAUAAUACCAUUGGACAUAUCCAGUCCAAAGACUACAGGAAGUGUAGCAUGGGUCAUUAUCCAAUGAGAAGUGUGUCUUGUGAGUCUCUCUAUGGUGAUUCAAACACCCUAGUUCCUGGUUAAGGAAGAGAGUAAACUCACAAGAAGAAAGCUAUCAUGAAAGACUGAUAGUUAUAAGACCAUGAGGAUGCAUAUGAUCAUCACAAGCUUAGCUCCUUAUAGUCUAAGCUUGAGGGGGAGUCUUAAUGCAUAUGAUCCAUGGUCAGUAACAAGUCAUUGCAAAGGCUUCUACAACGGAUCAUCAGCAGGAGUUAUUCUAGGUAGUCUAAGGGUGAAGGUGAACUGAUCAAAGCGGCUUUUAUGGUGAAGUGAUUGAUGAGAAGCUGAUGAAUCCAUUCUGCCUUUCCAAGAAGUUGAUGAUGCCAUGGAGAUGGUGCAAUGGCCGAGUGGGAACUCACCAAAACAAAAGGGAAGUGUCCUAAGCUCAAUUCAAUUCAAUACAUUCAUCAUUUCAAAUCAAAGUCUAGAAAUGAUACUUAAAAUGUUUGAAUGGAUUGUGUGAUGUUCCUUGAUAAGUACUGAUCCACCUUUGGGAUAAUGUAUCAGGUACCAUUGCUUGAGCCUCACUAAAGAUGUUCCUGGUCAGUUCCUAGCUUCUCUAAGAUGGCUGAGAAGUCUGUUGAGAGGGGGAGAUCCAAACCAGUUCUAUGAAGAGGGCAAGCCGUGUGUGAAGUGUUGAUCAGCCUCACUGGUGUUUUGAAGAUGAUCUGGUCGUGUCCUAGCUUCUCUAAGAUGGCUGUGAAGUCAGUUGAGAGGGGGAGACUUCAAACCGGUUCCAUGAAGAGGUGAAGCUGAGUUGUUAAGUGCGCAAAGUCUUGAUGAGUUGCUGCACCAGUUAAGCCACGAUCCAGAGUUCUUUGUGUCCAACUACAUUGGUUCUAAGACACAAAGGCUCAAUGACCAAUCCCUAGGCCUUGAGGAACCUACUCUUUUUCCCUUACAAAGUUUUGUCCCAAAGGGUUUUCCUUGUAAGGUUUUUAAUGAGGGGAUUCUUCAAGGUUCCAAGCUUGACUUAGGAUCUCCUAAGAGUCAAGCUUGAGGGGGAGUGUUAACUUGAAGAAUAGAAAUGGAGUGAAAGGAGAAGUAUGGAGUAGUUUGGGUCUAGUGCAAAGAGAGGGCAAGUCUUAUAAAGAUUGUAUGUCAAGCUUCAGGAGGGUUUUAAGAAGUCAAGAAGUGAUCUUAUGGCUGUGGAAGAUUGGGUUUAAGUCCAGGAGGGACUUAGACACCAUUUGGAGAAUAUUUGGUUGAGACAGUAACUCUAAAGUUACCACAGUAACUUUGGAGAGUUACCACAGUAAGAGAACACAAAACUCUUAAGAGAAGAAGACAAAACUCUUAAGAGAAGAAGACAAAGGAGAGGCUGGCUUACCAAUCUCUUAGACACAUAAACACUCUUUAGUCUCUCUUCUUCUCAAAUCGCUCCCAAGCUCUCUCUCUUUACCCAUUUGGGCUUCACACACACAUACAACCUGAGUAAUCCUAAAAUCUCAUAUAUUUUAGUUGGGAUUCAAUAGGUUGUUGGAACAAAAUGUGUGUGUAGCAAUAAUUGACCUAUAGAAAGUGACCGUGAGUGAAUAUACAUUUUUUGCCAACAGAUGUUGCCAUGUUGGACAAGAAACCCGGGAUGAUAAUGGAUUUGGGGUGGAUAACUAGUCCUAAAAUGGAU
Molecule: long non-coding RNA, 1928 nt
Filed under: Brassica napus (rape)
Lineage: Eukaryota; Viridiplantae; Streptophyta; Magnoliopsida; Brassicales; Brassicaceae
Description: long non-coding RNA (BNAP_LNC017801)
Source: RNAcentral